UGCGUUUAUCAUGAUGAUCGAUAUUUUAUUAACAGUUAUCCCUGUCUGAAUAUGACACAAAAAAACCAAUGUGGAAAAAUGUUAAUCUGAACACGCA
This 97-nucleotide small nucleolar RNA is filed under the name Belgica antarctica. RNAcentral describes it as "small nucleolar RNA R38". It matches the Rfam family "Small nucleolar RNA R38". From Rfam's summary of the family: snoR38 is a C/D box small nucleolar RNA conserved across yeast, human, Arabidopsis and rice. It is encoded in the intron of elongation factor-1 gamma in both pombe and cerevisiae. snoR38 guides the methylation of 2'-O-ribose sites in 28S rRNA. Lineage: Eukaryota; Metazoa; Arthropoda; Insecta; Diptera; Chironomidae. The record is from RNAcentral.